AACGCGAAGAACCUUACCUGGGCUCGAAAUGCAGAGGGAGAUGCCAGAAAUGGCUUCGUCCGAAAGGACUUCUGUAUAGGUGCUGCAUGGCUGUCGUCAGCUCGUGCCGUGAGGUGUUUGGUUAAGUCCAGCAACGAGCGCAACCCUUAUCAUUAGUUGCCAACACGUAAGGUGGGGACUCUAAUGAGACUGCCUAGGUUAACUAGGAGGAAGGCGAGGAUGACGUCAAGUCCGCAUGGCCUUUAUGUCCAGGGCUACACACGUGCUACAAUGGUCGGUACAGAGGGCUGCAAGACCGUAAGGUGGAGCAAAUCCCAGAAAGCCGAUCUCAGUUCAGAUUGUGGGCUGCAACUCGCCCACAUGAAGUCGGAAUUGCUAGUAAUGGCGCGUCAGCAACAGCGCCGUGAAUACGUUCCCGGGCCUUGUA
This 427-nucleotide ribosomal RNA is filed under the name uncultured Chlamydiae bacterium. RNAcentral describes it as "bacterial SSU rRNA". It matches the Rfam family "Bacterial small subunit ribosomal RNA", at positions 958 to 1385 of the family's 1533-position model. Lineage: Bacteria; Pseudomonadati; Chlamydiota; Chlamydiia. The record is from RNAcentral.